GCGGAGUUUAUAACAAUGAUUGACAGGGAGCUAAGAUGGAGGUGGCUCUCUCUAUACGGACUGCCAGGUGUAAAGGGCGGAGCUUAUAACAAUGAUUGACAGGGAGCUAAGAUGGAGGUGGCUCUCUCUAUACUGACUGCCAGGUGUAAAGGGCAGAGCUUAUAACAAUGAUUGACAAGGAGCUAAGAUGGAGGUGGCUCUCUCUAUACUGACUGCCAGGUGUAAAGGGCGGAGCUUAUAACAAUGAUUGACAGGGAGCUAAGAUGGAGGCGGCUCUCUCUAUACUGACUGCCAGGUGUAAAGGGCGGAGCUUAUAACAAUGAUUGACAGGGAGCUAAGAUGGAGGUGGCUCUCUCUAUACUGACUGGCAGGUGUAAAGGGCGGAGUUUAUAACAAUGAUUGGCAGGGAGCUAAGAUGGAGGUGGCUCUCUCUAUACUGACUGCCAGGUGUAAAGGGCAGAGCUUAUAACAGUGAUUGACAGGGAGCUAAGAUGGAGGUGGCUCUCUCUAUACUGACUGCCAGGUGUAAUGGGCGGAGCUUAUAACAAUGAUUGACAAGGAGCUAAGAUGGAGGUGGCUCUCUCUAUACGGACUGCCAGGUGUAAAGGGCGGAGCUUAUAACAAUGAUUGACAGGGAGCUAAGAUGGAGGUGGCUCUCUCUAUACUGACUGCCAGGUGUAAAGG
Non-coding RNA from Pelobates cultripes (western spadefoot toad), 684 nucleotides. The record is from the annotation of a GenBank genome assembly. NCBI's taxonomy places the organism in Eukaryota, Metazoa, Chordata, Amphibia, Anura, Pelobatidae.